AGUUGUGAGGGCAAUCUGUCACCCCCCUCUGGUCUCCAGGGUUGAUCCUGCUGGUGUGACUGGGCUAGGCAGCUGUCCCUCUCUCUUGCUGUGUGUGUCCUUCCCAGAGCUGUGCUCAGACAAAGAGGAUGACCCUCCCCAACGGAGGACCACUCUCAGCCGAGGGCACACACACCGCAGCUGUGCUCCUGAGCUGGAAACAGUACUCUCAUCUGACUUAAAAAUCUUUAAAUUGCAUUUAUUAUGUAUGUGUGUGUGUGAAUGUGCACACAUGCAUGCCAU
Molecule: small nuclear RNA, 282 nt
Filed under: Peromyscus maniculatus bairdii (prairie deer mouse)
Lineage: Eukaryota; Metazoa; Chordata; Mammalia; Rodentia; Cricetidae
Description: 7SK RNA (ENSPEMG00000003872.2)
Rfam family: 7SK RNA
About the family: 7SK was discovered as an abundant small nuclear RNA in the mid-70s but a possible function has only recently been suggested. Two independent studies have found that 7SK RNA binds the CDK9/cyclin T complex (known as elongation factor P-TEFb).
Source: Rfam by way of RNAcentral